RNAcentral lists this ribosomal RNA (253 nucleotides) under uncultured bacterium. Its description in RNAcentral is "partial 16S ribosomal RNA". It matches the Rfam family "Bacterial small subunit ribosomal RNA", at positions 524 to 776 of the family's 1533-position model. The record is from RNAcentral.
UACGGAGGGGGCUAGCGUUGUUCGGAAUUACUGGGCGUAAAGCGCACGUAGGCGGCUUUGUAAGUUAGAGGUGAAAGCCCGGGGCUCAACUCCGGAAUUGCCUUUAAGACUGCAUCGCUAGAAUUGUGGAGAGGUAAGUGGAAUUCCGAGUGUAGAGGUGAAAUUCGUAGAUAUUCGGAAGAACACCAGUGGCGAAGGCGACUUACUGGACGAUUGUUGACGCUGAGGUGCGAAAGCGUGGGGAGCAAACAGG